Molecule: RNA transcript, 1004 nt
Organism: Oncorhynchus keta (chum salmon)
Lineage: Eukaryota; Metazoa; Chordata; Actinopteri; Salmoniformes; Salmonidae
Gene name: small ubiquitin-related modifier 2-like
Exons: 4
Source: RefSeq, a predicted model, not a curated record
AUGAAUGUGAAGUACAGGGCACGAGCAUGUGUUUGUGAUCGCGCACGUAGGGCCGGUAUUUUAAUCGGGAGCGGGUACGUGCGCGUACACGUCUUUUUCGUUGUGUGGCGGCGUAGAGAAGCGCAAAUAGAGUAACCAUGGCUGACGAGAAACCCAAGGAGGGAGUGAAAACAGAAAACAACGACCACAUAAACCUGAAGGUGGCGGGACAGGAUGGGUCGGUGGUGCAGUUCAAGAUCAAGAGACACACGCCGCUCAGCAAACUCAUGAAGGCGUACUGUGAGAGACAGGGGUUGACAAUUAGGCAAAUCCGGUUCGGUUCGAUGGACAGCCUAUAAACGAGACAGACACACCUGCACAGUUGGAAAUGGAGGAUGAAGAUACGAUCGACGUUUUCCAGCAACAGACAGGAGGCCUCUACUAGCAUGUCAAGUACUCCCCCACAUCUUCCUCCACCCCCCAGACGGCUGCUUUGCAGCUUGUCCCAUUUUCCACCACAGAACCAAUACCAUGCGGAAGACUUCCUGCUCACAGUUAUACAUAACUGUUGAUGUAUAGUGUUUUCAUUCUUGCCUUUGUUUCCUUCCUGUUUUGUACAUAAACAACCUCCUCUAAAACAACUCAGAUUUGAGUAACAUUCAUACAAGGUGUGCUGCGAAUAAACGCAACCAGAUCCAGCUCUUAAAAAGUCCAUUGUUUUGGUGACUUGUUGGUUCACUUAUUCAGAGAUCAAGAAAAGCUAUUUUCCACCCGUUCACUGUUUGAGAAUAAGACUGGUUUGUUAUUCAACUUAAUUUUCUGUUGUCGAUUUCAGAAAAUUGGUUUUAUAUCUUUUUUAUAUAGUAGUGGUUGUGUAGAAUGAAACAUGUCUUGAACAUAGUUUGACUAGGCCAUGCUUGUAAUAAGGAAACCCUGAAGAGAUGUUUUAGUCCAGGUAAACAUCUGUAUUGUCUCAUAAAUGUCUUGUUAAAAUAAAGUUAUUCUCUCUUUUUAACCAAACUCAA